This 315-nucleotide ribosomal RNA is filed under the name Triticum aestivum (bread wheat). Its description in RNAcentral is "partial small subunit ribosomal RNA". The record is from RNAcentral. Lineage: Eukaryota; Viridiplantae; Streptophyta; Magnoliopsida; Poales; Poaceae.
AUGCGCGUCCUCCUCACUGACACGGUGACGCACCACCUUCGCGGGGUCCUCGAGCCUCUGGACCCUCACUGGCCCAUGCGACCGCCACCAAAGAAGGUUCCGGUCAACGACAGGCCGGCUCCUUACCAACCUGCGCCCCCGGUAGGUAGCGCCUCCCUGUACCACCCCGGCGGAGCCCAGUCUCGGACAUGGCCCGUCUGGUCAAGCAGGUGUUGUCCUCCACCGACUCGACGACGAGGAUGCGGGAUAGGCAUCGUCCACGUCGAUGCGGGAAAAAUUGCUUUAACUAAAAAAAUAGCAACAAGUUCUUACUAA